AUCUCCUGACCUUGUGAUCCGCCCACCUCGGCCUCCCAAAGUACUGGGAUUACAGGCAUGAGCCACCGUGCCCAGCCUCAAGUAGGUUUUUAAUGAAUUUCUUAUACUUUUAAAAUACAACAUUAUGGCAAUAAAAGACUAUUCCACUUCUUUUCUAAUCUGGAGAAUUGUGUUGAUUUUUCUAGUACAAUUUUCUGGCUCGUAUCUCCAGUACAAUGGUGAAUAGUGGUGAAAGUAGAAAUUCUCAUCCUGUUUUCAAACUUGCAUGUAAAGCCCCCAGUCAUUCACCAUUAAGUAUAUUAGCUUUUGGUGUGGGGUUUUCCAUCUUGGCUCACUGCAGCCUCAACCUCUUAAGCUCAAGUGAUCUUCCCACCUUAACUGCCUGAGUAGUUGGGACAACAGGCAUGCACCACCAUGCCCAGAUAAUUUUUUUUUUUAAUAUUUUGUAAAUAUGGGGUCUCCCUAUAUUGUCCAGAAUGGUCUUGAACUCCUGAGUUUAUGCAGUCUUUCCACCUCAGCCUCCCAAAGUUCUGGGUUACAGGUGUGAGCCACUGCACCUGGCCAAUUUUGGGUUUUCAUAGAGGCCUUUUAGCAGGUCUCAAAAGUUUUCUUCUAAUAGUUUUCUUGAUGUUCUAUCAUUCACAGGUGUUGAAUUUAUCAAGCUUUUCUAUUUAAAUUAUUACAUUUUUACUUUGUUCAAGUAAUGUUGUAUCAUAUUAAACCAACAUUGCAUUGUGAAAAUACCCUGCUUAGUCAUGGUAUGUAAUCACUCUUAUACCUUUUUAUAUUCAUUUUUUAAAUAUUUCUUGGAAUGUCUGUGUCUAUAUUUAAAUAGGAUGUUGUUUCAUAGUCAUCUUGUGAUUCUUUUGUCUCAUUUGGGUAUUAUGGUAUUACUGGCUAAUAGAUGAAUUAAGAAGUGUUACCUCUUCUACUGCUUGAAGUUUUUGUGAGAAAUUGAUGUUUUUCAUUAAAUGUUGAUGAAAUGUACAACUUAAGCAGUUUAUAACAACUAUUCUAUCUAAAAAGAUUUUAAUUAAUUUUUUGUUACAUGGAUAUAAGUAUAUUCUUUUGUGUAUAUAUAUAUGUAUAAAAUGAAACAAUUCAUAGGAUGUUUUUUCAGUUUGCUUUUGUAAUCCAUCCCUAUCAAUAUUUUUUAUUUAAUAGUAUGUCAUGAACAAUUACUCUAGGCACUUGACAUGGAAUAAUUUGAAAAAAUAGAGAAUGAGUCCUGUACUACAAUCAACAAAUAACUCAAAAUUUUCUCCAUUUUUAGGAUGAAGAAUAUGAAUAUAGUUCUGUUACAUAAUAUUUGUGUUUACUGUGUGAGACAAAUGAGUUACUGAAUGUAAAAAUAAUUAGUGAAACUGCCCUCUGAUUUUUGGAAUGUAUGAAACAGGCAAAUGCCCUACCUUCUAUUUUUAUCAAUAUUUAGAUAAGACAGAAAAAUAAAUUUUAAUAAGAUAUACAGAAUAAUCUUGUAUUUGAAGAAUGCUAUGAAAAAGAUAAUUUGGAGUAGUAGUUAGUGUAUGGCUCAUAUAAUAUGUUAGGUACUAUUCUAAGCCAUUAAACAUUUGUAUGCUUAAUACCUAAGAGUUUAAAGUGAAGAAAUCAAAGAUUCAUUGAAAAAAAAAAUUGAAUUUUAAAGAAAUUGUAUUUUUAAUUGAAAAAUAGUAGUAUAUAUCUAUCUACAGUGUAAUAUUUUGAUAUAUGUUUAUGUUGUAAAAUGAUUAAAUCAAGUUAAUGUUUAUAGCUUCAUAUAAUUUUUGUGGUGAAAACAUUGAAAAUAGUCUUUAUAGCAGUUUUGAAAUACACAUUAUUUAUUAUAGUCACCAUUCUGUGCAAUUGAUCACUAAAUCUUAUUUCUCCUAAUUGAAACUUGGUACACGUCGAAGAACAUUUCCCCUCUUUUUAUUCACUCCAUCUCCUAGCCUCUGUCACAUUUUCAUUCAUAUUAGGUAACAUUAAGGUCAUUAUAGAAAUUAACUUUUUGGUGUCCCACAACUAAAUGAACAUAAAUAAUGUUAACUUUGUUAGUAAGUUAUACUAAUUAGGCAUAGGAAUAAAUGGCAGCUGUUUUUGCCAGUAAACAAAGGAUGCCCAUUAUUUUCAAAUAUUAGAUAUGAGUAUUUUAGGUGGUAAAGUUUUAGGCCUAAAAUAUGUCAUUGAAUUUAUUAUCCCAGAAACCCAGCAGGUCAUAUUUUCUGAACAUUGUAAAUAACAAUAGAAAUUAUUGACUAAAAUGUUACCAGCAAGUACUAUCUCACCACAUGAAAAUUGCAUUGAAAUAUUUAAAUUUGUAGUUCAAAUGGAAGACUCAGAUUCUUUUCAUGGAUUCAGGGAAGUGCUCAUGAGGAAGCAUGGUGAUUAAGCCAAAAAUCUGAAUUCAGGUAAAUAAUUCUGCCAAUAUGUUCUCAAUGGUGUAGAAAAUCAGUAGUUUUGGCCAUAUAUAGGUACUAUUCUCUGACGUAGAGUACAUUUAUUUCAGAAAUUUGUGCUAAAUGUAAAAUCAGUUCCCUAGUAUUAAAGUUAAACUCUACAAAUUAUUACUUUACAGUAUGUUGAGGAAAGGAUAUGUUCUAUAUAAAGUAACUUGAGAUUUAUUGUCUAUUACAAAAAAAAAUUGUGUAAAAUAUAUUUCAUGUGUACACUGUUGACAUUUGUGCUUGGAAAAAUACUAUAGAUUCUACACAUUUUAAAUGUAGAAAGCUAAAAUCCUCAGAAAGUUACAAGAAUCUUUAAACGACUGUAUAGCAUUGAAAGUGAAAGUAAAAUAUGAGAAUUUUCCAACUAGAGAAGCAAACGAAAGAAAUCAUUUAGGAAAAUAAUCAACUGAGAAGUAAGCGCUCCUGUUAGAUAUGGGUGGUCAGAGUUGCCAAAUCCAUGUGGGUUGCCCAACUUGCCAUAAAGCAAAUUUAAAAAACAGACACAAACGGCAGAUGUCUGAAAUGUAAUAUCUCCCAUAAGUGAAAAGAAAGUUAAAACUUAUGUUACACACAGUUAUAGGACUUAUUUUUUAAAUGUUUAAGUCAACACAAUGAGAAAAACAGGAAAUAUAUAUAUAUAUAUAUAUUACAGAGCAAAAGACUACAAGCUUGACAAGCCAUAUUUGAAAAAGCCAAAUACAAACAACCUACUUAACAUACAACGUAUGAGUUAAAUAUUAAAUUAGUCUCAGCUGAUGAGAUUAGUGAACCGAAAUACUGAGCAUGAUUAAUGUAGUUAAAUACAGUAAAAAGAGAAAACAGCCCCCGACCUCAGCAGAAGGUCUAAGGCCUGGCCCCCGCCCCCCAUCCCUGCCCGGAGCCCUAGCCUCUGAGGCAGUCUCCAAGCCUUUGGGAGUAGCUUCUGAAGAUGAGUUGGUGGUUGAAUUCCUGCAGGACCACCAUGUACCCCUUGUAUCCCAUGCCCCUCAGACAUUCACGAUGGAUGAACUGGCUGAGAUGCAGCAGAUUGAACAGUCAAACUUCCUCCAGCCUCCCCAGAGAGCCCCUGGUAUGGCCGACUUGGCCUUGUCUGAGAACUGGGCCCAGAGUGUCUUGCAGCUGGAGAUGCUGUGGAUGUAAUUCAGGAUUGUAAUGAGACAGACUGGUCCCAUUCAUUCAUUUCUGAAGUUACAGACCCCUUGGCUGUUUUCCCCACCUAUUGGGCAGAGGCAUAUUUGGAGCAAUCAGGGGAGAAGCUGUGGUUGGGAGAGCCUAAGGGAGCAGCAGCUGCUGAUUGUUGGACCAUGAAUGUCAUCCUGAGAAGGAUCUGCAGCACAUGGCCAAUGACUUUGUGGCCAAAGGGGAUGACUCCAAAUUGGCUAACUCUGAGUACAUCAGAUGCCUGGGUUGACCAUUCACAAGACCAGUAAACACAACUGCCCUUGAUAGGGAGUUUGAACGCGCCAAGUCAGCUAUAGAGUUGCAGGCGGAGUUGGAGGAGAUGGCAAAACGAGAUGCUGACGCUCACCCCUGGCUUUCUGACUAUGAUGACCUCACAUCAGCUUCCUUUGAUAAGGGGUACCAGUUGGAGGAGGAGAACCCCCCACGUGAUCACCCUCAGCCUUUCAAAGAAGGGCUGCAGUGACUUCAGGAGCUGUCCCUGCCAAAUGCUAUGCUGCAUUUUGAGGCAGCUAUGCAGCAGAAUCCUAAGAAUAUGGAAGCUUGGCAGUACCUGGGUACCACCCAGGUAGAGAAUGAACAAGAACUGUGAGCCAUCAGAGCAUUGCAGAGGUGUCUGGAGCUAAAGCCAGAUAACUGACAGCACUGAUGGCGCUGGCUGCAAGCUUUACCAACGAGCCCCUGCAGCAGCAGGCCUGUGAAACCCUGCUACACACCAGCCUGUGCCUAUCUGGUGACACCUGCUGAAGAAGGGGCUGGUGGGGCAGGACUGGGCACCAGCAAGCAUAUCUUGGGAUCUCUGUUGUCUGACUCCCUGUUUCUUGAAAUGAAGGAGCUCUUCCUAGCAACUGUGCAACUGGACCCUAUAUCCAUUGACCCCAGUGUGCAGUGUGGCUUGCAGGUCCUUUUCAACCUGAGUGGAGAGCAUGACAAGGCCAUGAACUGCUUCACAGCUACCCUCAGUGUUCGUCCCAAUGACUAUUUGCUGUGGAAUGGAAACCAGAGUGAAGAAGCAGUAACUGCAUACCGCCAGGCCCUUGAGCUCCAGCCUGGCUGUAUCCAGUCCCACUGUAACCUGGGCAUCAGCUGCAUCAAUCUGGGGCUCACUGGCAGGCUGCAGAGCACUUUCUGGAGGCCCUGAACAUGUGGAAGAAAAGCCAGGGCCCUCAGGGUGAAUGAGGUGCCAUGUCAGAGAACACUUGGAGCACCCUGCAUUUCGCCUUCUGUGUUAGGGCCAGAGCGACGCCUGUGGGGUGGCUGAUGCCCGGGAUCUGUCCACCCUCCUAACCGUGUUUAGCCUGCCCCAGUGACAGUGGGAUGGGCUGCCCUGUGAGUGUCUGCCUAGACAGUUCCCCCCUCUGGAUGUGAUGUGAGUCCCUCUCCCCAAAUGCACCUACCAAGCGGGUAGGCUGAUGACCCUAAGUGGUAAGGCCUUUCAGAAGCUGUUCUAGUUCCUACAUAAUCAUAGGAAAACACAGCUUGUUUUCUCUGCGUCCCUUCAUAAUUGAAGGGCUGUACAUCCAGCUACAGAGCUCUCUGCUUAUCAUUCUUGAGGAUGCUUGUUGGGGAGGACCCAAUGAUCUAGGCUAACUGUUGUCAUCAACUGCCAUUUCUGAUAGGGUCUACCGCGUCAUG
This is a non-coding RNA of Chlorocebus sabaeus (green monkey), 5237 nucleotides long. NCBI's taxonomy places the organism in Eukaryota, Metazoa, Chordata, Mammalia, Primates, Cercopithecidae. The record is from RefSeq and is a predicted model, not a curated record.